This 253-nucleotide ribosomal RNA is filed under the name uncultured bacterium. RNAcentral's name for it is "partial 16S ribosomal RNA". It matches the Rfam family "Bacterial small subunit ribosomal RNA", at positions 524 to 776 of the family's 1533-position model. The record is from RNAcentral.
UACGGAGGGUGCAAGCGUUGUCCGGAUUUAUUGGGUUUAAAGGGUACGUAGGCGGCCCGUUAAGUCAGUGGUGAAAGCCUCCAGCUCAACUGGAGAACUGCCAUUGAUACUGACGGGCUUGAGUACAGACGAGGUUGGCGGAAUUGAUUGUGUAGCGGUGAAAUGCAUAGAUACAAUCAAGAACUCCGGUUGCGUAGGCAGCUAACUAGGCUGUAACUGACGCUGAGGCACGAAAGCGUGGGGAGCGAACAGG